GGUCAGAUGAUGACAGAUUUCCUGCUGAGCCCUCUGGAAUGUUCAGCACUCAGCAACGACAGUCCAGAAGUUUCUGUUUCCCUGGAAGGCUCUGAAAGGAAAGUUCUAGAUAAAGACUCCUGGUUUUGUUUUUGUCCUCUCUCACCCUGCCUAUUCUAGGGCCUCCACUGGGGUGGAACAAUGGCUCUGAGACCCUCGGCCACUUCCUGUCUUGAAUCUCGCUCGCAUUGGCAUUGAAGAAGCCCUCAUCUUAGGUUUCACAGACGAACGGCAAGGCACACUCGUCUCCGAGACCCCUAGUUUUCAGUUACACGCAAAGCAUCACUACAUUCUACAGACGAGGAGACUGAAGCCGGGAGAAAGUUGACUCUGGCCUGGGAACUAGUGGCGUUGGUUCCCAAACCCAUACCUUUAGCCUCCCCAUCCUUGCCACGCCCUUCAGUUUCCAACAAUGCCGCAAGAGGGAGUGUUAGGUGACAGGAAACAGGGGAACAUAGCUUGGUUUUGAGCUUUUCAUCCAGGUACGACAAAACCUUCCUCUGUGGUGGAGCAAAGGUUGCUGUGGUGACCAGCAGACCCCUGAUGCCUUAUCCCUGUAGCCGCAGCCAUGAAGUCAGCAGACAUAGAGACAGCCAGAAGGAAGGGAGACUGAAAGCAGAACUCCAUGACACGAUUCAUGAGGCCAUCCCUCGGAGAUGUGGGGCUUUUGCGUGACACAGCUUUCUGACUCAUCCAUGCCUAGCAAAGAGCAGUGAACUAGAGCUGGAUCCCUGGUGCUCAGCUGCCUCUCUGCAUACAGAGCCCCAGUCCUGCCCCGUGGAGAUGCAAACUUGAAGUAUUCCAGGAAUCUCACAAACCAGACUAUGAGAGAGAGACCCUGUAUACAAUGAAAAUAUGUCUCAGCUUCCUUGAGUCACCGUGUGACCCAUGCUCCUCCUCAGCACACUCCAGAACCUGCCCUGUCAUCUUCACGGCUCUUAUCAAACAUCUAAGACUUCAUAAGCCCUCCAGGUCAUGUACACUCGGCCACUGGAAGAACACCGAGGCGGAUGUUCCCUCCUGAAGAGCCCUCAUGGCACACGGGUGUGUUCUGUGGAUUUCCUCAGCACGCCCCACCCCCUCUCUUUCUCCACCCAUGUCCCUGCCCCAUCUCUCUCUCUGUCUCACCUCUCAACUCUGUGGUUUUCUUGGAUGUUGGGGAGGCAGCUCAGCAUGUAUGAAGCCCUGGGUUCAAGAUCCAACAACAUGUAAGCCAGUCAGUCACAGCAGCACGUUUGUAAUCCCAACACCCAGGGAGGCUGAAGCAGGAGGAUCCCCAUGCAUUUGGGGCUACCCUGAAUCAGACAAAGGCUCAGCAUGGUGACACACAUCUUUGAUCUCAGCACCAGGGAGGCAGAAGCAGAAAGACCUCUGAGUUUGAGGCCAGCCUGAUCUACACAGUAAGUUUUAGGACAGCUAGGGCUGCAUAAUGAGACCCUGUCUCAACAAAACCAAACCAAACCAAAAAAUAAAACAAAAACCGCCCCAAAAGAUAAAUGGUGAGUGAGCAGUUACUUCAGAAGAAACCUUACCCCGAGUUCAAACCCCAGAUUUGAGAUAAAGUGGAAAGAAUGGGC
Long non-coding RNA from Mastomys coucha (southern multimammate mouse), 1616 nucleotides. RefSeq lists it as uncharacterized. The record is from RefSeq and is a predicted model, not a curated record. The transcript is spliced from 5 exons. NCBI's taxonomy places the organism in Eukaryota, Metazoa, Chordata, Mammalia, Rodentia, Muridae.